GAUGAACGCUGGCUACAGGCUUAACACAUGCAAGUCGAGGGGAAACGACGGGGAAGCUUGCUUCCCCGGGCGUCGACCGGCGCACGGGUGAGUAACGCGUAUCCAACCUGCCUCUGACUGAGGGAUAACCCGUCGAAAGUCGGCCUAAUACCUCAUGGCAUCGUCUGCGGGCAUCCAACGACGAUUAAAGAUUUCAUCGGUCAGAGAUGUGGAUGCGUCUGAUUAGCUUGUUGGCGGGGUAACGGCCCACCAAGGCGACGAUCAGUAGGGGUUCUGAGAGGAAGGUCCCCCACAUUGGAACUGAGACACGGUCCAAACUCCUACGGGAGGCAGCAGUGAGGAAUAUUGGUCAAUGGGCGAGAGCCUGAACCAGCCAAGUAGCGUGCAGGAUGACGGCCCUAUGGGUUGUAAACUGCUUUUAUGCGGGGAUAAAGUGAGGGACGUGUCCUUCAUUGCAGGUACCGCAUGAAUAAGGACCGGCUAAUUCCGUG
This 491-nucleotide ribosomal RNA is filed under the name uncultured bacterium. RNAcentral describes it as "partial 16S ribosomal RNA". It matches the Rfam family "Bacterial small subunit ribosomal RNA", at positions 28 to 507 of the family's 1533-position model. The record is from RNAcentral.